GACGAACGCUGGCGGCGUGCUUAACACAUGCAAGUCGAGCGGUACGGCUCCUUCGGGAGUACACGAGCGGCGAACGGGGGAGUAACACGUGAGUAAUCUGCCCCGCACUUCGGGAUAAGCGCCGGAAACGGCGUCUAAUACCGAAUACGACCAGCCUCCGCAUGAGUUGCCGGUUGAAAGUCUUAUCGGUGCGGGGUGUGCUCGCGGCCUAUCAGCUUGUUGGUGAGGUAACGGCUCACCAAGGCUUCGACGGGUAGCCGGCCUGAGAGGGUGACCGGCCACACUGGGACAGGGACACGGCCCAGACUCCUACGGGAGGCAGCAGUGGGGAAUAUUGGACAAUGGGCGAAAGCCUGAUCCAGCAACGCCGCGUGAGGGAUGACGGCCUUCGGGUUGUAAACCUCUUUCAGUAUCGACGAAGCGCCUUUAACGGUGGUGACGGUAGAUACAGAAGAAGGACCGGCCAACUACGUGCCAGCCGCCGCAGUAA
RNAcentral lists this ribosomal RNA (490 nucleotides) under uncultured bacterium. RNAcentral describes it as "partial 16S ribosomal RNA". It matches the Rfam family "Bacterial small subunit ribosomal RNA", at positions 28 to 523 of the family's 1533-position model. The record is from RNAcentral.